This 468-nucleotide ribosomal RNA is filed under the name uncultured bacterium. RNAcentral describes it as "partial 16S ribosomal RNA". It matches the Rfam family "Bacterial small subunit ribosomal RNA", at positions 28 to 507 of the family's 1533-position model. The record is from RNAcentral.
GACGAACGCUGGCGGCGUGCUUAACACAUGCAAGUCGAACGGAAAGGCCCUGCUUUUGUGGGGUGCUCGAGUGGCGAACGGGUGAGUAACACGUGAGUAACCUGCCCUUGACUUUGGGAUAACUUCAGGAAACUGGGGCUAAUACCGGAUAGGAGCUCCUGCUGCAUGGUGGGGGUUGGAAAGUUUCGGCGGGUGGGGAUGGACUCGCGGCUUAUCAGCUUGUUGGUGGGGUAGUGGCUUACCAAGGCUUUGACGGGUAGCCGGCCUGAGAGGGUGACCGGCCACCUUGGGACUGCGAUACGGCCCAGACUGCUACGGGAGGCAGCAGGGGGGAAUAUUGCACAGUGGGCGGGAGCCGGAGGCAGCAACGCCGCGUGCGGGAUGACGGCCUGCGGGUUGUGAACCGCUUUCGCCUGUGACGAAGCGUGAGUGACGGUAAUGGGUAAAGAAGCACCGGCUAACUACGUG